RNAcentral lists this transfer RNA (75 nucleotides) under Curtobacterium sp. MCLR17_034. Its description in RNAcentral is "tRNA-Val". It matches the Rfam family "tRNA". From Rfam's summary of the family: Transfer RNA (tRNA) molecules are approximately 80 nucleotides in length. Their secondary structure includes four short double-helical elements and three loops (D, anti-codon, and T loops). Lineage: Bacteria; Bacillati; Actinomycetota; Actinomycetes; Micrococcales; Microbacteriaceae. The record is from RNAcentral.
GGGCGAUCGGCGCAGCGGGAGCGCGCUCCCCUGACACGGAAGAGGUCACUGGUUCGAUCCCAGUACCGCCCACCA